GAUUUACAUAUAUUUUUGAAGACUUUAUAAGAGUUAUAAGGAUUUUAAAAACUCUUGUAUAUGAUUUUAAAACCUUUUACAGUGGUUUUAAAAAGACUUACGAGGAUUUAAUGGAUGACGGUAACACGACGAUGAAAAAUUUAAAUCGACAUUACCAAGUUUUAAAAAUUUAUAU
Molecule: small RNA, 175 nt
Filed under: Arabidopsis thaliana (thale cress)
Lineage: Eukaryota; Viridiplantae; Streptophyta; Magnoliopsida; Brassicales; Brassicaceae
Description: ATSL172440
Source: RNAcentral